RNAcentral lists this ribosomal RNA (546 nucleotides) under Hypseloecus cassisi. RNAcentral describes it as "partial 16S ribosomal RNA". It matches the Rfam family "Bacterial large subunit ribosomal RNA", at positions 1801 to 2622 of the family's 2925-position model. Lineage: Eukaryota; Metazoa; Arthropoda; Insecta; Hemiptera; Miridae. The record is from RNAcentral.
UGUUUAUCAAAAACAUGGUCUUUUGUUUAUAUAAAAGAUUAGGCCUGCCCAAUGAUAAUUUUAAUGGCUGCAGUAUUUUGACUGUACAAAGGUAGCAUAAUCAUUUGUCUCUUAAUUGGAGUCUGGAAUGAAUGGUUUGAUGAAAAGUUUACUUUCUUUACUUUAAAAAAAAAAAUUGAUUUUUUGAUAAAAAAGUUGAGAUUAAAAUAUAGGACGAGAAGACCCUAUAGAACUUUAUUCUUAUAAAAAUAUGAAAUAUUGAUUAUGUCUUUUUAUCUUUUUUGGGGAAUUAUGUUGGGGUGAUAAAAAAAAUAUUAUAACUUUUUUUACUUUGAUCAUUUAUUUAUGAAUUGUUUUGAUCCUGUAUUUAUGGAAAAAAGACUAAGUUACCUUAGGGAUAACAGCGUUAUUACUUUAGAGAGUUCUUAUCGAUAAAGUAGUUUGCGACCUCGAUGUUGGAUUAAAAAAAGUUCCGGGGGUAGAAUAUCGGAAAUCUGGGUCUGUUCGACCCUUAAAUUUUUACAUGAUCUGAGUUCCAACCGGAGA